Long non-coding RNA from Hibiscus syriacus, 411 nucleotides. RefSeq lists it as uncharacterized. The transcript has 3 exons. The record is from RefSeq and is a predicted model, not a curated record. NCBI's taxonomy places the organism in Eukaryota, Viridiplantae, Streptophyta, Magnoliopsida, Malvales, Malvaceae.
UCUUGGUCAUUCACGAAGGUGAAACAGUGGCUGAUGUUAAAGUGCGAAUACAAGCGAAAUUUCAGGUUCCUGAGGAAGAGUUCUCCAAGUGGAAGUUUGCACUGUUGCCUUCAGGGCGACCAGAGUACCUAGAGGACUCUGACAUUUUAUUCAAUCGUUUUCAGGUUUGUCUUUGUUUCCUUGGUGUUUUGUUCUCACAUUUGAUCACUGUAUAUAUGUAGUAUUUAUUUGUGUGUACUCUUCAGAGAAGAGAUGUCUAUGGUGCCUGGGAGCAAUACCUCGGGUUAGAGCACUGUGAUAACAGUCCUAAGAGAGCUUAUAUAAAUCAGAACCGUCACACAUUUGAGAAACCAGUUAAAAUAUACAACUAAUAGAACAGGUAGUUGAAGUGGAGAGUUUUUUCAAAUGACG